GCAGGAGUAGUACAUCGGUAGUACACGAGCUUCCCAAGCUUGGAAGGCGGGUUCGACUCCCGUCUCUUGCUCCA
Molecule: transfer RNA, 74 nt
Filed under: Bacillota bacterium
Lineage: Bacteria; Bacillati; Bacillota
Also listed under: 5 other names
Description: tRNA-Gly
Rfam family: tRNA
About the family: Transfer RNA (tRNA) molecules are approximately 80 nucleotides in length.
Source: RNAcentral